This 546-nucleotide ribosomal RNA is filed under the name uncultured delta proteobacterium. RNAcentral describes it as "bacterial SSU rRNA". It matches the Rfam family "Bacterial small subunit ribosomal RNA", at positions 1 to 523 of the family's 1533-position model. Lineage: Bacteria; Deltaproteobacteria. The record is from RNAcentral.
CGACUAGAGUUUGAUCCUGGCUCAGAACGAACGCUGGCGGCGUGCCUAACACAUGCAAGUCGAACGUGAUUAGAGAGCUUGCUCUCUAUGAAAGUGGCGCACGGGUGAGUAACGCGUAGAUAAUCUACCUGAUGAUUCGGGAUAACGACUUCGAAAGGGGUGCUAAUACCGGGAUAAGCCCACGGAGUCCUUGGACUCUGCGGGAAAAGGGGGGGAUCGCAAGACCUUCCGUCAUCAGAUGAGUCUGCGUACCAUUAGCUAGUUGGUAGGGUAAAGGCCUACCAAGGCGACGAUGGUUAGCUGGUCUGAGAGGAUGAUCAGCCACACUGGAACUGAGACACGGUCCAGACUCCUACGGGAGGCAGCAGUGGGGGAAUUUUGCGCAAUGGGGGAAACCCUGACGCAGCAACGCCGCGUGAGUGAUGAAGGCCCUUGGGUCGUAAAGCUCUGACAGAGGGAAAGAAAUGCAGGGGAGCUAAUAUCUCCCUUGCUUGACGGUACCCUCAAAGGAAGCACCGGCUAACUCCGUGCCAGCAGCCGCGGUAA